CCUCCCACACUUUUCCUACCCUUUCAAGCCCCUAACAUUAGGAGAGAAGAAAGGAUAGAAAGAAAAGGAACUACAACUGUGUCCUUAGACUACUUCCUGCUGAUUAGGAGCUUUGAGUUCCUUAACGCAAGUUUGAUCUUCAUUGUCAGGAUAUCUGAUCUUCUUGUUUCUUCUUUUUCCCUGGACUCACCACAUCACUUGGGUGCUAGCACGCAUAUAAAUAUAAAUAUAAAUAUAUAUGUAUGUAUAUGUAUAUAUAUUCUGAAAAGUUCCCAGAAUUCCAAACACUGCACAACUGCAGAAACCGUCUGCCCCUGACAAAAAUCAUUCCCCUGCUAGAGCACUUGGCAAAUCUGUCACCUGCUGAGGACAGUCUGAAGCAGUCCCAUAUUCCACAUCUGGGAUUAAGACAAAAAUUCUUAUAGUAGCUCUGUGUUUCUAAAAAUUACACAAUUCCAGAAUCUUACUACAGGGCUUCUCUGUAUCACCCUGGCUGUCCUGGAACCCUCUCUGUAGACCAGGCUGGCCUCGAACUCAGCCACCCCAGCACUGCCUCCCAAGUGCUGGAGUUAAAGGUGUGCACCACGAUGCCUUUAUUCCCAGUUUUUAUUAAACCUUUAAUUAAUUUUCAGAUAAAGAA
This 640-nucleotide long non-coding RNA is filed under the name Rattus norvegicus (Norway rat). Its description in RNAcentral is "long non-coding RNA NONRATT003873". Lineage: Eukaryota; Metazoa; Chordata; Mammalia; Rodentia; Muridae. The record is from RNAcentral.